GAUCAUGGCUCAGGAUGAACGCUAGCUACAGGCUUAACACAUGCAAGUCGAGGGGGCAGCAUGGUCUUAGCUUGCUAAGGCCGAUGGCGACCGGCGCACGGGUGAGUAACACGUAUCAACCUGCCGUCUACUCUUGGACAGCCUUCUGAAAGGAAGAUUAAUACAAGAUGGCAUCAUGAGUCCGCAUGUUCACAAUGAUUAAAGGUAUUCCGGUAGACGA
This 220-nucleotide ribosomal RNA is filed under the name uncultured bacterium. RNAcentral describes it as "partial 16S ribosomal RNA". It matches the Rfam family "Bacterial small subunit ribosomal RNA", at positions 15 to 225 of the family's 1533-position model. The record is from RNAcentral.